UGGGGGAUCGUCUAGCGGCAGGACACAAGGCUCUGGACCUUGUUGCCGAGGUUCGAAUCCUCGUCCCCCAGCCA
RNAcentral lists this transfer RNA (74 nucleotides) under Deltaproteobacteria bacterium. RNAcentral describes it as "tRNA-Gln". It matches the Rfam family "tRNA". From Rfam's summary of the family: Transfer RNA (tRNA) molecules are approximately 80 nucleotides in length. The record is from RNAcentral. Lineage: Bacteria; Pseudomonadati; Myxococcota; Myxococcia. RNAcentral also lists the same sequence under 1 other name.